UACGUAGGUGGCGAGCGUUGUCCGGAUUUAUUGGGCGUAAAGCGCGCGCAGGCGGUACGGUCAGUCCGGUGUGAAAGCCCCCGGCUCAACUGGGGGAGGGCACUGGAGACGGCCGCACUGGAGGCAGGCAGAGGCCGGUGGAAUUCCCGGUGUAGUGGUGAAAUGCGUAGAGAUCGGGAGGAACACCAGUGGCGAAGGCGGCCGGCUGGGCCUGUCCUGACGCUGAGGCGCGAAAGCGUGGGGAGCGAACCGG
Molecule: ribosomal RNA, 253 nt
Filed under: uncultured bacterium
Lineage: Bacteria
Description: partial 16S ribosomal RNA
Rfam family: Bacterial small subunit ribosomal RNA
Source: RNAcentral